RNAcentral lists this ribosomal RNA (483 nucleotides) under uncultured bacterium. Its description in RNAcentral is "partial 16S ribosomal RNA". It matches the Rfam family "Bacterial small subunit ribosomal RNA", at positions 355 to 829 of the family's 1533-position model. The record is from RNAcentral.
UGGGGAAUAUUGCACAAUGGGCGCAAGCCUGAUGCAGCCAUGCCGCGUGUGUGAAGAAGGCCUUCGGGUUGUAAAGCACUUUCAGCGAGGAGGAAGGUGGUGAGCUUAAUACGCUCAUCAAUUGACGUUACUCGCAGAAGAAGCACCGGCUAACUCCGUGCCAGCAGCCGCGGUAAUACGGAGGGUGCAAGCGUUAAUCGGAAUUACUGGGCGUAAAGCGCACGCAGGCGGUUUGUUAAGUCAGAUGUGAAAUCCCCGGGCUCAACCUGGGAACUGCAUUUGAAACUGGCAAGCUAGAGUCUCGUAGAGGGGGGUAGAAUUCCAGGUGUAGCGGUGAAAUGCGUAGAGAUCUGGAGGAAUACCGGUGGCGAAGGCGGCCCCCUGGACGAAGACUGACGCUCAGGUGCGAAAGCGUGGGGCAGCAAACAGGAUUAGAUACCCUGGUAGUCCACGCUGUAAACGAUGUCGAUUUUGGAGGUUGUG